This 492-nucleotide ribosomal RNA is filed under the name uncultured bacterium. Its description in RNAcentral is "partial 16S ribosomal RNA". It matches the Rfam family "Bacterial small subunit ribosomal RNA", at positions 29 to 507 of the family's 1533-position model. The record is from RNAcentral.
AGUGAACGCUGGCGGUGGGCCUAACACAUGCAAGUCGAACGGAAGCACAGUAAGAGCUUGCUCUUACGGGUGGCGGGUGGCGGACGGGUGAGGAAUACAUCGGAAUCUACUUUUUCGUGGGGGACAACGUAGGGAAACUUACGCUAAUACCGCAUACGACCUACGGGAGAAAGCAGGGGUUCUUCGGACCUUGCGCGAUUGAAUGAGCCGAUGUCGGAUUAGCUAGUUGGCGGGGUAAAGGCCCACCAAGGCGACGAUCCGUAGCUGGUCUGAGAGGAUGAUCAGCCACACUGGAACUGAGACACGGUCCAGACUCCUACGGGAGGCAGCAGUGGGGAAUAUUGGGCAAUGGGCGCAAGCCUGAUCCAGCCAUGCCGCGUGGGUGAAGAAGGCCUUCGGGUUGUAAAGCCCUUUUGUUGGGAAAGAAAAGCAGCAGGUUAAUACCCCGCUGUUCUGACGGUACCCAAAGAAUAAGCACCGGCUAACUUCGUG